CCGUGACCGUGAUGGUCAUGGUCAUGGUCAUGGUCAUGGUCAUGGUCAUGGUCAUGGUCAUGGUCAUGGUCAUGGUCAUGGUCAUGGUCG
RNAcentral lists this microRNA precursor (90 nucleotides) under Azotobacter vinelandii. Its description in RNAcentral is "microRNA mir-598". The record is from RNAcentral. Lineage: Bacteria; Pseudomonadati; Pseudomonadota; Gammaproteobacteria; Pseudomonadales; Pseudomonadaceae.